This 497-nucleotide ribosomal RNA is filed under the name uncultured Flavobacterium sp. Its description in RNAcentral is "partial 16S ribosomal RNA". The record is from RNAcentral. Lineage: Bacteria; Pseudomonadati; Bacteroidota; Flavobacteriia; Flavobacteriales; Flavobacteriaceae.
CACGGAGUUAGCCGAUCCUUAUUCUUACGAUACCGUCAAGCCCCCAACACGUUGGAGUAUUUCUUCUCGUACAAAAAGCAGUUUACAAUCCAUAGGACCGUCAUCCUGCACGCGGCAUGGCUGGAUCAGGCUUGCGCCCAUUGUCCAAUAUUCCUCACUGCUGCCUCCCGUAGGAGUCUGGUCCGUGUCUCAGUACCAGUGUGGGGGAUCUCCCUCUCAGGACCCCUACCCAUCGUAGCCUUGGUAAGCCGUUACCUUACCAACAAGCUAAUGGGACGCAUGCUCAUCUUUCACCGUUGUGACUUUAAUAGUUCAACCAUGCGGCUGUACUAUACUAUGAGGUAUUAAUCCAAAUUUCUCUGGGCUAUCCCUCUGUGAAAGGCAGAUUGCAUACGCGUUACGCACCCGUGCGCCGGUCUCUAGCACCGAAGUACUACUACCCCUCGACUUGCAUGUGUUAAGCCUGCCGCUAGCGUUCAUCCCUGACGCCAGGACUA